GCAUUGAGUUUAUUCUUGCGGGAAUUUAGGAGCCAUCAGUGAGAUACCACUCUGGUAAUGUUAGAUUUCUAACUUUGUAUCAUGAUCCGGUCAAAGAACAGUUUCAGGCGGGCAGUUUGACUGGGGCGGUCGCCUCCCAAAUGGUAACGGAGGCGUACAAAGGUUUCCUCUGAACGUGUAGAAAUCGUAUCUAGAGUGUAAAGGCAUAAGGAAGCUUGAUUGUGAGACCUACAAGUCGAACAAAGACGAAAGUCGGCCUUAGUGAUCCGACGGUUCCGAGUGGAAGGGCCGUCGCUCAACGGAUAAAAGUUACUCUAGGGAUAACAGGCUGAA
Molecule: ribosomal RNA, 333 nt
Filed under: uncultured eukaryote
Lineage: Eukaryota
Description: LSU rRNA
Rfam family: Bacterial large subunit ribosomal RNA
Source: RNAcentral